UACGGAGGAUGCGAGCGUUAUCCGGAUUUAGUGGGUUUAAAGGGUGCGUAGGCGGGCUUUUAAGUCAGCGGUAAAAAUUCGGGGCUCAACCCCGUCCGGCCGUUGAAACUGGGGGCCUUGAGUGGGCGAGAAGAAGGCGGAAUGCGUGGUGUAGCGGUGAAAUGCAUAGAUAUCACGCAGAACCCCGAUUGCGAAGGCAGCCUUCCGGCGCCCUACUGACGCUGAGGCACGAAAGUGCGGGGAUCGAACAGG
This 252-nucleotide ribosomal RNA is filed under the name uncultured bacterium. RNAcentral describes it as "partial 16S ribosomal RNA". It matches the Rfam family "Bacterial small subunit ribosomal RNA", at positions 524 to 776 of the family's 1533-position model. The record is from RNAcentral.